This 2624-nucleotide long non-coding RNA is filed under the name Homo sapiens (human). RNAcentral's name for it is "HSALNT0115519". Lineage: Eukaryota; Metazoa; Chordata; Mammalia; Primates; Hominidae. The record is from RNAcentral.
CAAAUGCAAGAUUUCAUUCUUUGAUGUUUUCAUGUUGAACAAUUGGAAUCAUGGAAUUUCUUCAAGAAAGGACUGCUGAAGCACGAUAGACAAGAAGUACUGCUUUAAUAAACGUGAACCGAUGUGCACUCCUGUAUGUUUGAAACUAAGAAGCCUAAGGUGAAUUAAAGAAUCUGUGGUUCUUGUGGGUCCUGCAGGUUACAAACUUGUGAAAAAUCUUUGACUUUAUACAUCCCACUGCCCUACCCUGUUGGAAAAGACCAAUCCUGGAAUGCUGAAGCCCUGAUGGAAGAUGAAUAGAAACCGGACACUCCCACAGAGGGCUGGUUAGCUGGUGCACCAUCCCAUUUGCUCUUGGACUCUGCUCACUUCACCUCUCGGUGUGACUUUGCGAUGGCUGGAGCUGUGCCAGGCCUGCUACCCCUGGACACCUGAUGAUAUCAAGAGGACUAAGGGCCCCUGAAAUUUCAGAAAUGCUGAAUCCGUGGCAAAAGAGAUGUUAUUGGUGCCCUGAGUUCUUGUAAUCUCCAAGGAGAGAAAUCAAGAGGGAUCACCAGACAUAGCAGCCAAAAAGAAAGAGAAAAAUUUAUUUUAGCUUGUGUGCAAGGAAGUCAGCACUGCAAAAGGAAAAGGUGGGUUGCUCCCCAAGGGCAGUAUGUGGGUUAGUUUUACAGGGACUUUCUAUAGAAAAGGAUUUUGUCAGAGCCUGAAUAGGAGGGGUUUGUCUAGAGCUUGUGCAGUGGUUUUACAUGCUUCUUCAUACAUCACAAAUAACAUGAGCAUUUUAAAUCUCCACUGCUGGGCAUGAUUUUUAGCAUUAAAAUGAGGCAAGGGUAACUAUAAGUUAAAGUUUAAGUCUAACUGCACACGCAGAACUUCAUGGUAGGCCCUAGCCCCCUGAAGUAGGAACUCGUGGUGGUUAAUAACUUCUUGGGUCUUGUUGUUAAUCAGCUGGAAGUUAGGUAAGGUGCAGCAUGAAUAAGGGGCUUUUGUUCUUUUUCUCGAAACCACCUCAAAACAGGAAAUCAGCCAGCCUGUCUGUCUCAGAAAGACCAAUAGGUGUGAAUUAAUCUUUAACCAAAAUAUCCUGGGCUCCAAGGCAAUUUGGGGGUGUAAAUACACCCCCAAAUCUUCUAUUAAUUUCUUAAAUAGAUUAUGAGGCAAUCCAAUGAUUCACAGAUUUACCUUUGCCUAUCCACUGAGUGAACUUUAAGAGAACUGUAAGUUGUUUUUCCAGUAGGUUUAUCUGCUAGAGCAGAUGAAAUCUGUUCUUAUUCAUUGCAGGCCUCCUGAGAUCCUAGUUCCUAAAUUUUUAGCAGACUCUUCCACCUCUCUAUUGAAGGGUGUGAAGUAUCUUCCCUGUACUCAAAAUAGCUACUGAUUGAUUGUUCAGUCAUUUACAUAUAAAAAUAAGACUCUGUUUUCUUCCUCAGCAACAAGGAACUCUCUAAUUCCUAUCUGACAGUUCACAGAGAUGUGAUCUUGUUGUUGAUGGAAUUUUCUUCAAAAUUUUGGCAUUUCGUGCAACAUCAGUCUUGGUGCUCCAUUUUCUUGGAGAAUUUUCAUCCUUUCUUUAUCCUCAAAAGUCUUCUGGAAGGAGUAAGAAGAAGCUGCCUCAGAAACUGUGAAACACAUGCCAUGUUAGUUCUAAUUUUAGUCCCAGAUCACUCAAUUCAGUUGUGCAGAUAAAUGAAUUGUCACAACUAUUUACAGAACCAAAUUGAGAACAAUCCUCUCUUAUCCUCACCUUACCAUCCCGAAUCAAAUCUGCCUGGGAACAAAUCUGGUAUUAGAUGUUUCUUCUUUAGUAUGAAAUCAUGUCAAUAUGUUAACUUUCCACAUAUAUCAAUCUAAAGCUUAUUUCUAAUUAAGCAAUAGCUACAAAUUAAAGGAAUUUAAAGCAUCACUGCACAGGCAGCAGAGGUUUUCUUCUAAGCCGAAACCCUGUGGGAAUCAUAACCCGGAUGAUAUAAUAGGCAGCUUGGAUUUCCUGCUAGGAAACCCGGCUCUAUCAUUUUCAUGGACUGGGCCACUUUAUCCCCAUGUCUGCAUUUUAAACUCUCUUUUAUUCUGAUUGUAGGUAACAAAAUAAAUAUGAAACAAAUUCAUAAACAAUAUUGGAAAAAGCUGUGCAUUUUUCUGAAUUUCAACAAAGCACGUGGCCAGAUCUCUCAAGUUAUUCCAGGGACAGAGUGAUCUGGGGUGGGGAGUUAGGUGGAUUUCUUUCCAGACAUUCAGCCGUAAGUAAUUAGCAGUCAGCCUGGCACUGGGCACCAGGGUCCCUGGGAUGAUGGCAGAGGAAGGCAUGAUUUUCCAAAUUGAUGGAUCUCAUGUCAUUGGGAGGAAUGAGAAACGAAUUGAAUGACAUUGUCACUGUCAUCACAUUUUUACAGAUGAAAUCCAAACAGAUCAUAGUAAACUGCAUGAGCAUGGUGGAGAAGGGACACUACAACAACAUCAUUUGGUCAAGUAGUUAGGGGUUGAUGGGUUGAAGUCUCACCAUAUGUUGACAUUGUUAUGAGAUGGCCAACACAAAUGAAAAAAUAGGCAUGUAUAGUGUCUAGGAAAGGAAGAUGAUAGUCUUCUUUCACUAUUCACAGCUCAGAUCUCGGCAGGAAGUUAGG